Molecule: long non-coding RNA, 339 nt
Organism: Oreochromis aureus
Lineage: Eukaryota; Metazoa; Chordata; Actinopteri; Cichliformes; Cichlidae
Exons: 3
Source: RefSeq, a predicted model, not a curated record
UGAGGAAACAUUUAACGGCUGAUCAUGGAGCAGGAUGAAGGUCAAAAGGAAAGUCCCUGCCAGGCUUCCGGUUAUGCUUCCAUCCAGCCUAGUCAUCCAGCCGGUCCAUGCUAUAUCGCCCCUCCUGACCCGGAGUGCUUAUGGUAUUCUACGGAGGUAGUUGAAGCAUCCCGAGCUCUCGGAGGUAAUUGACCGGGAUGAACCGACGGUCGUCUGACUUCUUCUUGAUAAGAAAAUGAUCACCACAGUGAAACAGCACACAAACUGUUGGAGAGACAUCGUUAACUGCACCUGUUUCAGAUCAUCGUAGACUUUAAAUAUCUAAAAUUAUUGUUCAAC